CUGGCGUCUAAGAAAAUAGAGUCAUUGAAAUCAAGCUGACACUGCUUUUAGCCUUCUUAAUGAAAAGGUAGAUAGAUCUUGUUUGCAAAAUAAAUCUAAGACCUACUUAUCUACCAAUAGCA
This 122-nucleotide small nucleolar RNA is filed under the name Propithecus coquereli (Coquerel's sifaka). Its description in RNAcentral is "Small Cajal body specific RNA 15 (ENSPCOG00000003873.1)". It matches the Rfam family "Small Cajal body specific RNA 15". Rfam says of the family: scaRNAs are a specific class of small nuclear RNAs which localise to the Cajal bodies and guide the modification of RNA polymerase II transcribed spliceosomal RNAs U1, U2, U4, U5 and U12. ACA45 belongs to the H/ACA box class of guide RNAs as it has the predicted hairpin-hinge-hairpin-tail structure, the conserved H/ACA-box motifs and is found associated with GAR1. ACA45 is predicted to guide the pseudouridylation of residue U37 of the U2 spliceosomal snRNA. The record is from Rfam by way of RNAcentral. Lineage: Eukaryota; Metazoa; Chordata; Mammalia; Primates; Indriidae.